Molecule: ribosomal RNA, 398 nt
Filed under: uncultured bacterium
Lineage: Bacteria
Description: bacterial SSU rRNA
Rfam family: Bacterial small subunit ribosomal RNA
Source: RNAcentral
GAUGAACGCUAGCUACAGGCUUAACACAUGCAAGUCGAGGGGCAGCGGGAUUGAAGCUUGCUUCAAUUGCCGGCGACCGGCGCACGGGUGAGUAACGCGUAUCCAACCUUCCGUACACUCAGGGAUAGCCUUUCGAAAGAAAGAUUAAUACCUGAUGGUAUGAUGAGAUUGCAUGAUAGCAUCAUUAAAGAUUUAUCGGUGUACGAUGGGGAUGCGUUCCAUUAGGUAGUAGGCGGGGUAACGGACCACCAAGACGACGAUCAGUAGCCGGCUUGAGAGAGUGAACGGCCACAUUGGGACUGAGACACGGCCCAAACUCCUACGGGAGGCAGCAGUGGGGAAUAUUGCACAAUGGGGGAAACCCUGAUGCAGCAACGCCGCGUUGAAGUGAAGAAGUA